This 69-nucleotide transfer RNA is filed under the name Ictidomys tridecemlineatus (thirteen-lined ground squirrel). RNAcentral's name for it is "Spermophilus tridecemlineatus (thirteen-lined ground squirrel) tRNA". It matches the Rfam family "tRNA". From Rfam's summary of the family: Transfer RNA (tRNA) molecules are approximately 80 nucleotides in length. Their secondary structure includes four short double-helical elements and three loops (D, anti-codon, and T loops). Lineage: Eukaryota; Metazoa; Chordata; Mammalia; Rodentia; Sciuridae. The record is from Rfam by way of RNAcentral.
GGGGUUGUGGCUCAGCAGUAGAGCGCUUGCCUAGCAUGUGUGAGGCAUUGGUUUCAAUCCUCAACACCA